This 253-nucleotide ribosomal RNA is filed under the name uncultured bacterium. RNAcentral describes it as "partial 16S ribosomal RNA". It matches the Rfam family "Bacterial small subunit ribosomal RNA", at positions 524 to 776 of the family's 1533-position model. The record is from RNAcentral.
UACGUAGGGGGCAAGCGUUGUCCGGAUUUAUUGGGCGUAAAGAGCGUGUAGGCGGCUAUACAGGUCCGUUGUGAAAACUCGAGGCUCAACCUCGAGACGCCGAUGGAAACCGUAUGGCUAGAGUCCGGAAGAGGAGAGCGGAAUUCCUGGUGUAGCGGUGAAAUGCGCAGAUAUCAGGAGGAACACCAAUGGCGAAGGCAGCUCGCUGGAACGGUACUGACGCUGAGGCGCGAAAGCGUGGGGAGCAAACAGG